RNAcentral lists this ribosomal RNA (422 nucleotides) under uncultured cyanobacterium. RNAcentral's name for it is "bacterial SSU rRNA". It matches the Rfam family "Bacterial small subunit ribosomal RNA", at positions 358 to 795 of the family's 1533-position model. The record is from RNAcentral. Lineage: Bacteria; Bacillati; Cyanobacteriota.
GGAAUUUUCCGCAAUGGGCGAAAGCCUGACGGAGCAACGCCGCGUGAGGGAUGAAGGCCUCUGGGCUGUAAACCUCUUUUAUCAAGGAAGAAGACCUGACGGUACUUGAGGAAUAAGCCACGGCUAAUUCCGUGCCAGCAGCCGCGGUAAUACGGGAGUGGCAAGCGUUAUCCGGAAUUAUUGGGCGUAAAGCGUCCGCAGGCGGUCUUGUAAGUCUGUCGUUAAAGCGUGGAGCUUAACUCCAUUUGAGCGAUGGAAACUGCAAGACUAGAGUGUGGUAGGGGCGGAGGGAAUUCCCGGUGUAGCGGUGAAAUGCGUAGACAUCAGGAAGAACACCAGUGGCGAAGGCGCUCUGCUGGGCCAUAACUGACGCUCAUGGACGAAAGCCAAGGGAGCGAAAGGGAUUAGAUACCCCUGUAGUC